AUUGAACGCUGGCGGAAUGCUUUACACAUGCAAGUCGAACGGCAGCACGGGGCAACCUGGUGGCGAGUGGCGAACGGGUGAGUAAUACAUCGGAACGUGCCCAAUCGUGGGGGAUAACGUAGCGAAAGUUACGCUAAUACCGCAUACGAUCUACGGAUGAAAGCGGGGGAUCGCAAGACCUCGCGCGAAUGGAGCGGCCGAUGUCAGAUUAGGUAGUUGGUGGGGUAAAGGCUCACCAAGCCAACGAUCUGUAGCUGGUCUGAGAGGACGACCAGCCACACUGAAACUGAGACACGGUCCAGACUCCUACGGGAGGCAGCAGUGGGGAAUUUUGGACAAUGGGCGCAAGCCUGAUCCAGCCAUUCCGCGUGCAGGAUGAAGGCCUUCGGGUUGUAAACUGCUUUGUUACGGAACGAACGGCGAGCUCUAAUACAGUUUGCUAAUGACGGUACCGUAAGAAUAAGCACCGGCUAACUACGUGCCAGCAGCCGCGGUAAGU
RNAcentral lists this ribosomal RNA (499 nucleotides) under uncultured bacterium. RNAcentral describes it as "bacterial SSU rRNA". It matches the Rfam family "Bacterial small subunit ribosomal RNA", at positions 30 to 525 of the family's 1533-position model. The record is from RNAcentral.